This is a non-coding RNA of Pelodiscus sinensis (Chinese soft-shelled turtle), 371 nucleotides long. NCBI's taxonomy places the organism in Eukaryota, Metazoa, Chordata, Testudines, Trionychidae. The record is from RefSeq and is a predicted model, not a curated record.
CUAACUGCUAUUGUGGUUUGCAAAGUCACCCCACCAACGUACGGUCUAUUAACUUUGGAUACUCCAUGACGGUCACCUAUUGCCUGAUAUUCAGAGCUCCUAAGCACAGACUGGUGGAUCCAGAGAACCAGGAAUUCUGGCUGCUCAGAAUCUCUUGACAGUUGGACCAUGUGGAUCUCUGCAGGUAAUGCCAAUUAUAGGGGAGUGUCCCCGGUUUUAGACCAUCCUCCUCUGCAUCUCCCUCAUAUCAGAGAACAUGGGCAUUAAGGCAUCUUCUACAGCAACAUGAGCAUUGAUUGCUUCCAGACCAGAGCAACGGCUGCAGUUACGCUGUCCCGGCUGCCCUGGAGGGAGGUCCUGCUGCUGUGGUG